This is a long non-coding RNA of Lolium rigidum, 523 nucleotides long. RefSeq lists it as uncharacterized. Lineage: Eukaryota; Viridiplantae; Streptophyta; Magnoliopsida; Poales; Poaceae. The transcript is spliced from 5 exons. The record is from RefSeq and is a predicted model, not a curated record.
UAUGAACAUAAGUUUCUACUACCUGUUUGAAGAUUUAGGCAAUGGGGCACAUAGAUAAUAUCUAAUGACUUGUGACUAACGAUGUGCAUACAGGAGGCAAUUCAGUUGUCAGAAAGUUGAGGUGCAAAUCAAGAUGACAUUUCGAAUGUUCAGUUUUAAAGAUCGUACCAGAAAGUACUUGAUCACCUGUAACGAUGGUCAGCUAUUUGCUAUCCAAUUUAUGGUUUCAGUGUUUUCUUGAUCCAUUGAAGAUACAGAUGGAGUUCUCCAGUUUCAGCGAGUUGUGUACAACAUGUAGUGGAAGUGGUGACCUGGGUUCACUCUCUACUGAAAGCAUCAACUUACCUGUCCCUUUUUCCAUUGAAGUUUUUGGUGCCUACAGAGUUUAGAUGAUUAAACUUGAGGACCAAUAUGAUGCUCAAGCAGCUACAUGUCUGCAUAAUGGCUACAGAUGUUUGGUGCUCAGUUUACCGACAAGAGUUGAUGCAUUUACCGAAACACUAUGUAGAUAGUAGUGCAGUUA